Molecule: ribosomal RNA, 196 nt
Filed under: Rhizophagus sp. (in: glomeromycetes)
Lineage: Eukaryota; Fungi; Glomeromycota; Glomeromycetes; Glomerales; Glomeraceae
Description: partial small subunit ribosomal RNA
Rfam family: Eukaryotic small subunit ribosomal RNA
Source: RNAcentral
CUCCAAUAGCGUAUAUUAAAGUUGUUGCAGUUAAAAGCUCGUAGUUGAAUUUCGGGAUCAGUAUUGUUGGUCAUGCCUCUGGUAUGUACUGGUCUCACUGAUUCCUCCUUCCUGAUGAACCGGAAUGCCAUUAAUUUGGGGUUUGGGGGAAUUUGGACUGUUACUUUGAAAAAAUUAAAGGGUUUAAAGCGGCCAA